RNAcentral lists this non-coding RNA (24 nucleotides) under Rattus norvegicus (Norway rat). Lineage: Eukaryota; Metazoa; Chordata; Mammalia; Rodentia; Muridae. The record is from RNAcentral.
AACAAUUCAACUGAAAAUCUAGGG